GAGCGGUAAGGCCCUUCGGGGUACACGAGCGGCGAACGGGUGAGUAACACGUGGGUGAUCUGCCCUGCACUUCGGGAUAAGCCUGGGAAACUGGGUCUAAUACCGGAUAUGACCCUGGAAUGCAUGUUCUGGGGUGGAAAGAUUUAUCGGUGCGAGAUGGGCCCGCGGCCUAUCAGCUUGUUGGUGAGGUAACGGCUCACCAAGGCGACGACGGGUAGCCGACCUGAGAGGGUGACCGGCCACACUGGGACUGAGACACGGCCCAGACUCCUACGGGAGGCAGCAGUGGGGAAUAUUGCACAAUGGGCGCAAGCCUGAUGCAGCGACGCCGCGUGCGGGAUGACGGCCUUCGGGUUGUAAACCGCUUUUGACAGGGACGAAGCGCAAGUGACUGUACCUGUAGAAUAAGGACCGGCCAACUACGUGCCAGCAGCCGCGGUAAUACGUAGGGUCCGAGCGUUGUCCGGAAUUACUGGGCGUAAAGAGCUUGUAGGCGGUUCGUCGCGUCGUUUGUGAAAACUUGGGGCUCAACCUUAAGCUUGCAGGCGAUACGGGCGGACUAGAGUACUUCAGGGGAGACUGGAAUUCCUGGUGUAGCGGUGAAAUGCGCAGAUAUCAGGAGGAACACCGGUGGCGAAGGCGGGUCUCUGGGAAGUAACUGACGCUGAGAAGCGAAAGCAUGGGUAGCAAACAGGAUUAGAUACCCUGGUAGUCCACGCCGUAAACGGUGGGCGCUAGAUGUGGGUCCCUUCCACGGGAUCUGUGUCGUACUAACGCAUUAAGCGCCCCGCCUGGGGAGUACGGCCGCAAGGUAACUCGAAUUGACGGGGGCCCGCACAAGCGGCGGAGCAUGCGGAUUACGAUGACGCGAACUUACUUGACUACAAGGUCGGGCACUGGCCAUC
Molecule: ribosomal RNA, 905 nt
Filed under: uncultured Nocardia sp.
Lineage: Bacteria; Bacillati; Actinomycetota; Actinomycetes; Mycobacteriales; Nocardiaceae
Description: bacterial SSU rRNA
Rfam family: Bacterial small subunit ribosomal RNA
Source: RNAcentral